This 480-nucleotide ribosomal RNA is filed under the name uncultured bacterium. RNAcentral's name for it is "partial 16S ribosomal RNA". It matches the Rfam family "Bacterial small subunit ribosomal RNA", at positions 28 to 523 of the family's 1533-position model. The record is from RNAcentral.
AAUGAACGUUGGCGGCGUGGAUUAGGCAUGCAAGUCGUGCGAUAACCCCGCAAGGGGGGAAAGCGGCGAAAGGGAGAGUAACGCGUGGGUACCUGCCCCUUGGUCCGGAAUAGCUGCGGGAAACUGCAGGUAAUGCCGGAUACCAUCCUCGGAUCAAAGGUGUGAUUCCGCCGAGGGAGGGGCCCGCGUUCUAUUAGCUAGUUGGUAGGGUAAUGGCCUACCAAGGCGACGAUGGAUACCGGGUGUGAGAGCAUGACCCGGCUCACUGGGACUGAGACACUGCCCAGACCCCUACGGGUGGCUGCAGUCGAGAAUCUUCGGCAAUGGGCGCAAGCCUGACCGAGCGACGCCGAGUGCGGGAUGAAGGCCUUCGGGUUGUAAACCGCUGUCGUAGAGGAGGAAAUGCCAUGGGGUUCUCUCCAUGGUUUGACCUAUUCUAGGAGGAAGGACGGGCUAAGUUCGUGCCAGCAGCCGCCGUAA